Molecule: ribosomal RNA, 254 nt
Filed under: uncultured bacterium
Lineage: Bacteria
Description: partial 16S ribosomal RNA
Rfam family: Bacterial small subunit ribosomal RNA
Source: RNAcentral
UACGUAGGACCCAAGCGUUAUCCGGAAUUACUGGGCGUAAAGAGUUGCGUAGGUGGCAAAGUAAGCAGGGUAUGAAAUCGUACGGCUCAACCGUAUACCCAUAUCUUGAACUGCUUAGCUAGAGGAUGAGAGAGGUUAUUGGAAUUCCUAGUGUAGGAGUGAAAUCCGUAGAUAUUAGGAGGAACACCGAUGGCGUAAGCAGAUAACUGGCUCAUUCCUGACACUCAGGCACGAAAGCGUGGGGAGCGACCGGG